ACUGAAGUGAUGAGGAGGAAGACAACACACAGAGUGUUUGAUGGCACUAGUGAGAAACCUGAAUUUGCUGUUGGAAUGGCAUUCACUGACAGUAGGGAAUUCAAGCAGGCUUUGGUUAAAUAUGGGCUAGUUAAUUUCCACCACCUAAGAUUCCCUAAAGAUGAGAAGAAGAGGGUCAGUGCACAGUGCUCUUGGCUUGGAUGUCCUUGGAGCAUCUAUGGAUCAAUUAGCAGCAGGUCUGAUUGGCUACAAGUUGUGAGGUACAACAAUGAGCACACAUGCAUUCCUAGGAGGGACAACAAGCUGGUUACUAGCACAGUUAUUGCAAAAAAAUAUUUCAGGCAGAUUAGGGACAAUCCUACUUGGAGGGUGGAGAAAAUGCAAGAGGCAGUACUUGAGGAUUUGCUAGCUGAUGUGAAUCUCUCAAAGUGCAAAAGGGCUAAAAAGCUUGUCAUGGCAAAGCUCACUGAUAUGACCAAUGGUGAGUACUCUAGAGUGUUUGACUACCACCUAGAAUUAGUUAGAAGCAAUCCAGGGAGCACUGUAGCUGUUUGUUUAGAUCCAGACAUUCAUGACAAGCCAGUCUUUCAGAGAAUGUAUGUGUGCCUUGAGGGUUGCAAAAAAGGGUUUCUAGCUGGAUGCAGAAGAGUGGUGGGAUUAGAUGGCUGCUUUCUGAAAGGGGCAGUAACAGGGCAAAUUUUGUCUGCUAUUGGCAGAGAUGCUAAUAAUCAGAUGUACCCACUUGCUUGGGCCACAGUUGAGGUUGAAAGCUAUGAGUCAUGGUAUUGGUUUCUCUCACUUCUCCAAAAGGACCUGCAGAUAAGCAAUCAUGGUGAUGGAUGGGUUUUCUUAUCUGAUCAACAGAAGGGUCUUAUCAGGUCUGUUAAUGAAAUUAUUCCUGAAGCGGAGCACAGAAUGUGUGCCAGACAUAUAUAUGCAAAUUGGAGGAAGCAACAUAGGGAGAAGAAAUUGCAGAAAAUGUUUUGGGCAUGUGCCAAGUCCUCUGAUAGGAGUCAGUUCAACUACAACAAAGCCAAAUUAGCACAGAAAAGUCCAGAAGGAGCUAGAGAUAUUAUGAACACUGCACCAGAACACUGGAGUAGAGCAUACUUCAAACUGGGCUCAUGGUGUGAUUCAGUUGAGAAUAAUAUGUGUGAAUCAUUCAACAAUGCAAUUAUGAGGUCAAGGUUUUACCCUGUCAUCACAUCACAUGAGAUCAUUAGAAAGAAGGUGAUGGCACGGAUACAAGAAAACAGGGGCAAAUCAGCAACAUGGAGUGGAACCAUUUGCCCAAACAUUUUCAAGAAGUUGAAGUUGAACAUCAAGAGGUCAGCUAAUUGCCAGGUGCUUUGGAAUGGAAAAGAAGGUUUUGAAGUACAAGAAGGAGAACAUAGGAGGUACACAGUCAACUUGGAAAAGUGGCAGUGCUCUUGCAGAUACUGGGAACUAUCAGGUUUGCCUUGCAGCCAUGCCAUAAGUGCAAUCUACACUUGUGGCAAAAAGAUAGAUGAUUUCAUUGCACCAUGCUAUCUUAUCAGUGAGUACAACAAGAUAUAUGAUCAUGUUUUGCAACCAGUUGAGGGGAAAGAGAAUUGGCCAGUAUCAGAAAAUCCAAAGCCACAUCCACCUCCUCAGAGGGUAAUGCCAGGAAGAAAGAAGACAAAAAGAAGAAAAGAG
RNAcentral lists this ribosomal RNA (1677 nucleotides) under Triticum aestivum (bread wheat). RNAcentral describes it as "partial small subunit ribosomal RNA". Lineage: Eukaryota; Viridiplantae; Streptophyta; Magnoliopsida; Poales; Poaceae. The record is from RNAcentral.